RNAcentral lists this ribosomal RNA (226 nucleotides) under Hypoponera foreli. RNAcentral's name for it is "partial large subunit ribosomal RNA". The record is from RNAcentral. Lineage: Eukaryota; Metazoa; Arthropoda; Insecta; Hymenoptera; Formicidae.
GAAUUUUAUAUUUUAAUAUGUAAUAAAUAUAUAUAAUUAAAAUAUUUUAUUGGGAGGAUAUUUAAAUUUAAUAAACUUUAAUUAUUAAUAACAUAGAUGAAUGAAAAUUUUUAAAAAUAUAAAUAUUUAAGAAUAAAUGAAUAAUUAUGUAAUUAUUAAAGAAUUAAUUACCUUAGGGAUAACAGCAUAAUAUUUUUUUGUAGUUCAUAUAUAAAAAAAUGCUUGU